Zea mays is the source of this 916-nucleotide RNA transcript. RefSeq lists it as uncharacterized. NCBI's taxonomy places the organism in Eukaryota, Viridiplantae, Streptophyta, Magnoliopsida, Poales, Poaceae. The record is from RefSeq and is a predicted model, not a curated record. The transcript has 5 exons.
GGUGGGCUCGUCUCGGACAAGCCCCGGCCGUCUCGAUCCCAGCAUCCGAGAGAGCUCCACAGGCCAGGUCCCCAUCGCCGCGGCGCUUGCCCCACCUCUCCCCCGCCCGGUAGUAGCCUCGCCGCCGUUGCCGAGAUGGGGUUCGUGUCCUUCGUCGGGAGGGUGCUCUUCGUCGCCGCUUUCCUCCUCUCCGCCUACCAGGAGUUUAAUGAAUUCGGUGCUGAUGGUGGACCAGCAGCUAAGGCCCUUCGGCCCAAAUUCAACGUGUUUGUCAAAAAUGUAUCUGCUCAUCUGGGAGUAGCUGUGCCACACAUUGAGUUGAAGCAUGUGAUUGCUGCUACAAUUGGUCUUAAGGGUCUUGGAAGCCUCCUUUUUUUUUGAGCAGCUCUCUCGGUGCUUAUCUCCUGCUGCUGUACCUUGCUUUGAUCACUCCUAUCAUCCAUGACUUCUACAACUACGAUAUGGAGAAGGCAGAAUUUGCAGGCCUCUUUGCGAAGUUCACCCAGGAUUUGGCGCUGAUCGGAGCUCUGCUCUUCUUUCUGGGCAUGAAGAACUCCAUCCCGAAGCGGCAGGGCGGCAAGAAGAAGGCCCCCAAGGCGAAGACGAACUAGGGCUGCUUAGAUAGCUGCACGCCUCAGGCGGGGUGUAUCAGGCCACAGGUCUAUUUCGAAGCAGGCCCAGCGCGAUGCAGCGAAUGCCAUCGAGCUGCGCUUUUACAUGUUUAUCAUCAGAUUCCAUUUUGCGGGGCACGGCCCGGACAAAGGUGUGACCGGGGUGGGUUAGGCGACUAGAUUGCACGAUUAUGUACUUGCGAUUUGUUUGUUGAACUGGGUUGCCGACAGUUAAUCUUCAUUUGAUUUUAUCUUGUUAGCAGCGCAGGAACCGUUGCUGAUUCAGUGGUUGGUAGUUUCUUUCA